RNAcentral lists this ribosomal RNA (876 nucleotides) under uncultured crenarchaeote. RNAcentral's name for it is "bacterial SSU rRNA". It matches the Rfam family "Archaeal small subunit ribosomal RNA", at positions 21 to 903 of the family's 1478-position model. Lineage: Archaea; Thermoproteati; Thermoproteota. The record is from RNAcentral.
ACCUGACUGCUAUCGGAUUGAUACUAAGCCAUGCGAGUCAUUGUAGCAAUACAAGGCAUACGGCUCAGUAACGCGUAGUCAACCUAACCUAUGGACGGGAAUAACCUCGGGAAACUGAGAAUAAUGCCCGAUAGAACACUAUGCCUGGAAUGGUUUGUGUUCCAAAUGAUUUAUCGCCAUAGGAUGGGACUGCGGCCUAUCAGUUUGUUGGUGAGGUAAUGGCCCACCAAGACUAUUACAGGUACGGGCUCUGAGAGGAGUAGCCCGGAGAUGGGUACUGAGACACGGACCCAGGCCCUAUGGGGCGCAGCAGGCGAGAAAACUUUGCAAUGUGCGAAAGCACGACAAGGUUAAUCCGAGUGAUUUGUGCUAAACGAAUCUUUUGUUAGUCCUAGAAACACUAACGAAUAAGGGGUGGGCAAGUUCUGGUGUCAGCCGCCGCGGUAAAACCAGCACCUCAAGUGGUCAGGAUGAUUAUUGGGCCUAAAGCAUCCGUAGCCGGCUCUGUAAGUUUUCGGUUAAAUCUGUACGCUUAACGUACAGGCUGCCGGGAAUACUGCAGAGCUAGGGAGUGGGAGAGGUAGACGGUACUCGGUAGGAAGUGGUAAAAUGCUUUGAUCUAUCGAUGACCACCUGUGGCGAAGGCGGUCUACCAGAACACGUCCGACGGUGAGGGAUGAAAGCUGGGGGAGCAAACCGAAUUAGAUACCCGGGUAGUCCCAGCUGUAAACUAUGCAAACUCAGUGAUGCAUUGGCUUGUGGCCAAUGCAGUGCUGCAGGGAAGCCGUUAAGUUUGCCGCCUGGGAAGUACGUACGCAAGUAUGAAACUUAAAGGAAUUGGCGGGGGAGCACCACAAGGGGUGAAGCCUGCGGUUC